GGCCGUGUAGCCUAAUGGAUAAGGCGUCGGAUUUCUGAUCCGAAAAUUGCGGGUUCAAGUCCCGUCAUGGUCG
Drosophila melanogaster (fruit fly) is the source of this 73-nucleotide transfer RNA. It matches the Rfam family "tRNA". From Rfam's summary of the family: Transfer RNA (tRNA) molecules are approximately 80 nucleotides in length. Their secondary structure includes four short double-helical elements and three loops (D, anti-codon, and T loops). NCBI's taxonomy places the organism in Eukaryota, Metazoa, Arthropoda, Insecta, Diptera, Drosophilidae. The record is from Rfam.